AUAAAGAAAAUAGAAUAUAUUAUUAAAUUUUAAAUUUAAUAAUAAGAAAAGUAUAUUUGUUAGUACAUAUAUUUUGCCAAUUUUGGCACGUGACUCGUGAUUUUUUGUUUCAUGGUGAUUAAAAAUCGUUCGCUGAUUCUCCGCAUGGUGCUCUCUAUUCCGUAUGGCUAAUUCUGUUAUUGUGACGAUGAGAUUUUCUCUCAGUAAUCGAAUAUCUAAUUUAUUUCAACUUUGAUAGACAUUACAAAUGUAACGAAAUAGGAUUAAAUUCCUUCCCGUAGCAAGGAAACAUGGAAGGAGUCAAAAGGAAAAGCGUAACUACGCGUGUAACUCUUCGACCGGAACUAUCAUGGGCCAUGUGGCGGCAUAGACUGCGGUCGUAACCAUAAAGCUUGGAAACACAGGCAGCAGAUACAAGUUAACUUUCUGUCUCUUCUUGCUCAAGUAACCAUUUACUAUCAGAGCGGACAAGAAUAACACAUAUGCUUUUACCAUUUCUAUUUUUUUAAUUACAUCACAUUUAAAAUUUAAAAAAAUUUCUUUUUUUUUAUUUAUUAUGAUAAUUUUUAUAGCACAAAAUUAUAAAAUAAUUGCAUUUAUUUAAAUUUAAAAAAUAUUAUAGUAUUAUUUGAAAACUGUUUUGUUUAUUUUUUUUAAUGUUUUAUUAUAUUAUGUAUAUUAAUUAUCAUAUUUGAGAUUUUAAAAAAAUUUUUUAAAUGAAUUUCUUAUUUUAAUAAUAUUCUAUAUCAAAUAUCAAUCAUCGAAGAUAAAAUAAAUAUUUUUUUUGGUAUUAUAAUGUAAUUCAUAGUUUCAAAAAUUGAUUAUUUACUAAAAUCAAUUAAUAAAAAAGAGUAAAAUAAUACAAAAAUAUUAAUAAAAAGAAAAACACCUUAAAUAUCAUACUGCAAUUAUAAUACAAAUAAAUACAAGUCCUUUAUUUCCUUAAUAUGAUCUUAAUUACACUAUAUCAUUAGCUAUUAAUCAUCCAGAACAUCAAACCAGUCUUAAAAGCGUGGAUCGUUAAAAUUUUGUCUAGGUUUAUCAACAAUAUUGUGCAACUGACGUCCAAGUCUGGGAGAUGGUGUCCAAGGUACUCGACGUCCUAGACGUGAUGCAAACAAAGAAUUUAAACAAAGAUGAAUACACAUCAAAUGACUGGCAAAGUCCAUCGAUGUCCAUCGAAAACAAUAAAAAAGAGGAAGAAAGAAGACAAAGUGUCGUCGACAAAUAGGGAAACGUCAGGAAAGCCUCCUGGCGUCUUCCUUUGUAACGAAUCGAUGCUGGCGCCCAAGGCGAUUAGGCGAACAAUUUGUUCUCAAUUAAACCUGUCAAUUAACCAAUUCAAUUUCGGGAUGAACGAGACCAUGAAGCAGGAAAGAAAGUCAACUAGUGCUUGUAUAAAAGCUCGAUUGUGACUCUGCCUAUCAACACAUUUAUUGGUCGAUCGUCUCGGAGAACACGUGAUUUGAUCUACAGUAAAAGCAUAGUUUAUGAAUGAGAAUAGAAAAUUAGUUUUUAUGUAAAUACUGGAUUAAGAUUGGGAAUUUUUAUUAGUGUAUACAUGUUAAUUUAUUAAUAU
Molecule: long non-coding RNA, 1579 nt
Organism: Apis dorsata (giant honeybee)
Lineage: Eukaryota; Metazoa; Arthropoda; Insecta; Hymenoptera; Apidae
Exons: 3
Source: RefSeq, a predicted model, not a curated record